RNAcentral lists this ribosomal RNA (120 nucleotides) under Burkholderia cenocepacia. Its description in RNAcentral is "partial 16S ribosomal RNA". It matches the Rfam family "Bacterial small subunit ribosomal RNA", at positions 1 to 115 of the family's 1533-position model. The record is from RNAcentral. Lineage: Bacteria; Pseudomonadati; Pseudomonadota; Betaproteobacteria; Burkholderiales; Burkholderiaceae.
UUGAACUGAAGAGUUUGAUCCUGGCUCAGAUUGAACGCUGGCGGCAUGCCUUACACAUGCAAGUCGAACGGCAGCACGGGUGCUUGCACCUGGUGGCGAGUGGCGAACGGGUGAGUAAUA